Molecule: ribosomal RNA, 468 nt
Filed under: uncultured bacterium
Lineage: Bacteria
Description: partial 16S ribosomal RNA
Rfam family: Bacterial small subunit ribosomal RNA
Source: RNAcentral
GACGAACGCUGGCGGCGUGCUUAACACAUGCAAGUCGAACGGAAAGGCCCUGCUUUUGUUGGGUGCUCGAGUGGCGAACGGGUGAGUAACACGCGAGUAAACUGCCCUUGAAUUUGGGAUAACUUCAGGAAACUGGGGCUAAUACCGCGUAGGAGCUACUGAUGCAUGGUGUUGGUUGGAAAGUUUCGGCGGUUGGGGCUGGACUCGCGGCUUAUCAGCUUGUUGGUGUGGUAGUGGCUUACCAAGGUUUUGACGGGUAGCCGGCCUGAGAGGGUGACCGGCCACAUUGGGACUGAGAGACGGCCCAGACUGGUACGGGAGGCAGCAGUGGGGAAUAUUGCAGAAUGGGCGGAAGCCUGAUGCAGCAACGCCGCGUGCGGGAUGACGGCCUUCGGGGUGUAAACCGCUUUCGCCGGUGACGAAGCGUGAGUGACGGUAAUGGGUAAAGAAGCACCGGCUAACUACGUG